UCCUUCCUCCCACAUCUCCACCCAUCCCCUCUCCACCCAAUAUUCACCACAUUUUCAUUUCUGACUGUCUUCCCCAGCAGCUAUUAGUGAUGAUGACUCAACGACAUGCUCCUGGUCCAGAAAGAAAGGGAGUGAUCCCUCUCGAUUCCGGUACAGAUUUGGGAGAAGGGGUUUCCUUUUUUCUAAAACCUCAAUGAGCUGCUGUUUCUACCUGGGGAGACCCUGGCUGCGCUUCUGUGACUAUGAGCCGUGGCCAAAAGAGAAGAACCUGAUGGAUGUGGCCGGCGUGAUUAAUAGCAGCCUGUCUGAGAGUGGCGAGUGACGGA
RNAcentral lists this long non-coding RNA (326 nucleotides) under Bos indicus x Bos taurus (hybrid cattle). RNAcentral describes it as "lncRNA (ENSBIXG00005016816.1)". Lineage: Eukaryota; Metazoa; Chordata; Mammalia; Artiodactyla; Bovidae. The record is from RNAcentral.